GGGGGAUAUUGCACAAUGGGGGAAACCCUGAUGCAGCGACGCCGCGUGGAGGAAGAAGGUUUUCGGAUUGUAAACUCCUGUCGUUAGGGACGAUAAUGACGGUACCUAACAAGAAAGCACCGGCUAACUACGUGCCAGCAGCCGCGGUAAAACGUAGGGUGCAAGCGUUGUCCGGAAUUACUGGGUGUAAAGGGAGCGCAGGCGGGAAGACAAGUUGGAAGUGAAAACCAUGGGCUCAACCCAUGAAUUGCUUUCAAAACUGUUUUUCUUGAGUAGUGCAGAGGUAGAUGGAAUUCCCGGUGUAGCGGUGGAAUGCGUAGAUAUCGGGAGGAACACCAGUGGCGAAGGCGGUCUACUGGGCACCAACUGACGCUGAGGCUCGAAAGCAUGGGUAGCAAAC
This 400-nucleotide ribosomal RNA is filed under the name uncultured bacterium. RNAcentral's name for it is "bacterial SSU rRNA". It matches the Rfam family "Bacterial small subunit ribosomal RNA", at positions 356 to 773 of the family's 1533-position model. The record is from RNAcentral.